This is a non-coding RNA of Stegodyphus mimosarum, 73 nucleotides long. The record is from Rfam. NCBI's taxonomy places the organism in Eukaryota, Metazoa, Arthropoda, Arachnida, Araneae, Eresidae.
GUCUUCGUUGUAUAGUGGUGAGCACGCUCGACGCGUAACCGAGAGGUCCGUGGUUCGAUUCCCGGCGAAGGCA